AAGGAAUUUCAAAACACGUUUAGCCGAACUACACACAAAAUUGUAUUUCGUCAGCAAACGGCUUAUUGUCGCAUACAGAUAUAAAUUGAAUAAAUGUAUGUAUCCUACCUUCAUACCUACAACAAUGCACCCACCAUCAAUACCAGUUUUAGAUCCUGAGCGGAGCGAGGAAUGUAUCAGUUUUACAAUAAUGUUUAUUUUUUUUUCUGUGAAUAAAUUUUCUACCAGAAAUUUUAAUCGGAUUAUUAAGUGUAACACUUUUACUGAAAGGAAAUCUGACCGGGAUGGUACCUUAGUGAGGUAAAUUUUGAUUUUCCUUGGAGUUUUCGUAAUAAACGGGCAAAUGUUCGAAAUGUAUUAUUAUCAAAUCAUAAAUAUUACGGCCUUUCGAAAAACAUGUACAACUGAACUCCGCUCAGAAUAGUUUUUCGUUAGCAAUGAUUAAUCGCUGCGUACAGAUACAGUGGAACCUCGAUUAUCCGGGGGAACGGUGGAUAGGGGGUCACACAGAUAAAUGAAAACCACGGUUAAUC
Cinara cedri is the source of this 533-nucleotide non-coding RNA. The record is from the annotation of a GenBank genome assembly. Lineage: Eukaryota; Metazoa; Arthropoda; Insecta; Hemiptera; Aphididae.